Molecule: ribosomal RNA, 520 nt
Filed under: uncultured Glomus
Lineage: Eukaryota; Fungi; Glomeromycota; Glomeromycetes; Glomerales; Glomeraceae
Description: SSU rRNA
Rfam family: Eukaryotic small subunit ribosomal RNA
Source: RNAcentral
AGCAGCCGCGGUAAUUCCAGCUCCAAUAGCGUAUAUUAAAGUUGUUGCAGUUAAAAAGCUCGUAGUCGAAUUUCGGGAUCAAUAUGUCUGUCGUGCCUUUGGUACGUACGGGUAUAAUUGGUUUCUACCUUCUGAUGAACCUUGAUGCCAUUAAUUUGGUGUCUUGGGGACUCAGGACUGUUACCUUGAAAAAAUUAGAGUGUUUAAAGCAGGCAUACGCUUGAAUACAUUAGCAUGGAAUAAUGAAAUAGGACGUUCGAUUCUAUUUUGUUGGUUUCUAGGAUCGACGUAAUGAUUAAUAGGGAUAGUUGGGGGCAUUAGUAUUCAAUUGUCAGAGGUGAAAUUCUUGGAUUUAUUGAAGACUAACUACUGCGAAAGCAUUUGCCAAGGAUGUUUUCAUUCAUCAAGAACGAAAGUUAGGGGAUCGAAGACGAUCAGAUACCGUCGUAGUCUUAACCAUAAACUAUGCCGACUAGGGAUCGGAUGAUGUAAUUUUUAAUGACUCAUUCGGCGCCUUAAC